CUACGGAGGAUCCGAGCGUUAUCCGGCUUUAUUGGGUUUAAAGGGAGCGUAGGCGGGAGAUCAAGUCAGCUGUGAAAUGUAGAUGCUCAACAUCUGCACUGCAGUUGAAACUUGUUUUCUUGAGUGCGUAAGGGGCAGGCGGAAUUCGUCGUGUAGCGGUGAAAUGCUUAGAUAUGACGAAGAACUCCGAUCGCGAAGGCAGCCUGCCGGGCCGCGACUGACGCUGAAGCUCGAAGGUGCGGGUAUCGAACAGGAUUAGAUACCCUGGUAGUCCGCACAGUAAACGAUGGAUACUCGCUGUCGGCGAUAUACGGUCGGUGGCCAAGCGAAAGCGUUAAGUAUCCCAACUGGGGAGUACGCCGGCAAAGGUGAAACUCAAAUGAAUUGACGGG
This 392-nucleotide ribosomal RNA is filed under the name uncultured bacterium. RNAcentral's name for it is "partial 16S ribosomal RNA". It matches the Rfam family "Bacterial small subunit ribosomal RNA", at positions 523 to 917 of the family's 1533-position model. The record is from RNAcentral.